Molecule: ribosomal RNA, 441 nt
Filed under: uncultured bacterium
Lineage: Bacteria
Description: partial 16S ribosomal RNA
Rfam family: Bacterial small subunit ribosomal RNA
Source: RNAcentral
CCUACGGUAGGCCGCAGUGGGGAAUAUUGCACAAUGGGGGAAACCCUGAUGCAGCGACGCCGCGUGAGUGAAGAAGUAUUUCGGUAUGUAAAGCUCUAUCAGCAGGGAAGAAGAAAGACGGUACCUGACUAAGAAGCCCCGGCUAACUACGUGCCAGCAGCCGCGGUAAGACGUAGGGGGCAAGCAUUAUCCGGAUUUACUGGGUGUAAAGGGAGCGUAGACGGCUGUGCAAGUCUGAAGUGAAAGCCCAGUGCUCAACCCUGGUACUGCUUUGGAAACUGUGGAGCUAGAGCGCUGGAGAGGUAAGUGGAAUGCCUAGGGUAGCGGUGAAAUGCGUAGAUAUUAGGAGGAACACCAGUGGCGAAGGCGGCUUACUGGACAGUAACUGACGUUGAGGCUCGAAAGCGUGGGGAGCAAACAGGAUUAGAUACCCCUGUAGUC